This 258-nucleotide ribosomal RNA is filed under the name uncultured bacterium. RNAcentral describes it as "partial 16S ribosomal RNA". It matches the Rfam family "Bacterial small subunit ribosomal RNA", at positions 524 to 777 of the family's 1533-position model. The record is from RNAcentral.
UACGUAGGGUGCGAGCGUUGUCCGGAAUUAUUGGGCGUAAAGAGCUUGUAGGCGGUCUGUCGCGUCUGCUGUGAAAAUCCGGGGCUCAACCCCGGACUUGCAGUGGGUACGGGGCAGACUAGAGUGUGGUAGGGGGAGACUGGAAUUCCUGGUGUAGCGGUGAAAUGCGCAGAUAUCAGGAGGAACACCGAUGGCGAAGGCAGGUCUCUGGGCCACUACUGACGCUGAGAAGCGAAAAGCAUGGGGGAGCGAACAGGG